CUGCUGCCUCCCGUAGGAGUUUGGUCCGUGUCUCAGUACCAAUGUGGGGGGUUAACCUCUCAGUCCCCCUAUGUAUCGUCGCCUUGGUGAGCCGUUACCUCACCAACCAGCUAAUACAACGCAUGCCCAUCAUCAACCACCGGAGUUUUCAACCCCAUGCGAUGCCGCACUGAGAUAUUAUGGGGUAUUAGUACCAAUUUCUCAGUGUUAUCCCCUGUUCGAUGGUAGGUUGCAUACGCGUUACGCACCCGUGCGCCCGG
Molecule: ribosomal RNA, 260 nt
Filed under: uncultured bacterium
Lineage: Bacteria
Description: partial 16S ribosomal RNA
Source: RNAcentral